This 404-nucleotide ribosomal RNA is filed under the name uncultured Sphingomonas sp. RNAcentral describes it as "bacterial SSU rRNA". It matches the Rfam family "Bacterial small subunit ribosomal RNA", at positions 84 to 524 of the family's 1533-position model. Lineage: Bacteria; Pseudomonadati; Pseudomonadota; Alphaproteobacteria; Sphingomonadales; Sphingomonadaceae. The record is from RNAcentral.
CUUCGGGUCUAGUGGCGCACGGGUGCGUAACGCGUGGGGAUAGCCCUUGGGUUCGGAAUAACAGUGAGAAAUUGCUGCUAAUACCGGAUGAUGUCUUCGGACCAAAGAUUUAUCGCCCAGGGAUGAGCCCGCGUAGGAUUAGCUAGUUGGUGGGGUAAUGGCCUACCAAGGCGACGAUCCUUAGCUGGUCUGAGAGGAUGAUCAGCCACACUGGGACUGAGACACGGCCCAGACUCCUACGGGAGGCAGCAGUGGGGAAUAUUGGACAAUGGGCGAAAGCCUGAUCCAGCAAUGCCGCGUGAGUGAUGAAGGCCUUAGGGUUGUAAAGCUCUUUUACCAGAGAUGAUAAUGACGGUACCUGGAGAAUAAGCCCCGGCUAACUCCGUGCCAGCAGCCGCGGUAAU